UACGUAGGGUGCAGGCGUUAAUCGGAAUUACUGGGCGUAAAGCGCGCGCAGGUGGUUCCUUAAGUCUGAUGUGAAAGCCCACGGCUCAACCGUGGAGGGUCAUUGGAAACUGGGGAACUUGAGUGCAGAAGAGGAAAGUGGAAUUCCAAGUGUAGCGGUGAAAUGCGUAGAGAUUUGGAGGAACACCAGUGGCGAAGGCGACUUUCUGGUCUGUAACUGACACUGAGGCGCGAAAGCGUGGGGAGCAAACAGG
This 253-nucleotide ribosomal RNA is filed under the name uncultured bacterium. Its description in RNAcentral is "partial 16S ribosomal RNA". It matches the Rfam family "Bacterial small subunit ribosomal RNA", at positions 524 to 776 of the family's 1533-position model. The record is from RNAcentral.